UACGUAGGGGGCAAGCGUUGUCCGGAUUUAUUGGGCGUAAAGAGCGUGUAGGCGGCUUUGCAAGUCCGUUGUGAAAACUCGAGCUCAACCUCGAGACGCCGGUGGAAACUGCAAAGCUAGAGUCCGGAAGAGGAGAGUGGAAUUCCUGGUGUAGCGGUGAAAUGCGCAGAUAUCAGGAAGAACACCCGUGGCGAAGGCGGCUCUCUGGGACGGUACUGAUGCUGAGACGCGAAAGCGUGGGGAGCGAACAGG
This 252-nucleotide ribosomal RNA is filed under the name uncultured bacterium. RNAcentral's name for it is "partial 16S ribosomal RNA". It matches the Rfam family "Bacterial small subunit ribosomal RNA", at positions 524 to 776 of the family's 1533-position model. The record is from RNAcentral.